GAUGAACGCUGGCGGCGUGCUUAACACAUGCAAGUCGAACGUGAGGGUGCAGCGAUGUGCCUGAAAGUGGCGAACGGGUGAGUAACACGUAGAUGACCUGCCCUGGAGUGGGGGAUAACCAUUGGAAACGGUGGCUAAUACCGCAUACAUCCGGAGAACUGGGAAGUUUUCUUGGGGAAAGGCUCUGGUGCUUCAGGAGGGGUCGUGCGUCCGAUUAGCUAGUUGGUGGGGUAAAGGCUCACCAAGGCGACGAUCGGUAGCUGGUCUGAGAGGACGAUCAGCCACACGGGAACUGAGACACGGUCCCGACUCCUACGGGGGCGAGCAGUGAGGAA
Molecule: ribosomal RNA, 335 nt
Filed under: uncultured bacterium
Lineage: Bacteria
Description: bacterial SSU rRNA
Rfam family: Bacterial small subunit ribosomal RNA
Source: RNAcentral